AGCGGAGGCCUGGGUUAUGGCGGUAUUUUGCUUGGCGGAGGGCUACAGUUCGGCGGAUCACCGGUUCGGCGGGGAUGCAAGUUGGGCGGGGGAACUCCCAGCGGCGAAGCUAGGCGGAGCCCUGGAGCUGCAGGUUGGGCAGAGCCUCGGAGUUGCGGCUGGCAGAGCUGCGAGUUGGGCGGUGGUGUGCCGCCGGUGACUCCUAGCGGGGGAGUUCGGCGGAGCCUGGUGUGCACUUGGAGGUGCAACUUGCAGCAGGGAUUGCUCAACGGAGUCCGGCGGAGCGGAGGCGGUGUUGAGAAGAAGAGUCAGGCGGAGCUGGUUCGGCGGAACAGAGAGGACCAGAGCUGCAGAACUGGGGUCCGGCGGAACAUGGAGUUCGGCGGAAGCUGGAGCUUGGUGGCGAACAUUUCCGGCGGACUGGGUCAGCGGUUGCUGCCGUGAGCAGAGGAGUUGGGCGGUGGAAUUGCCGCUGAUGGAUCCUUGGCUGCUGGUGGUGCAACAUCAGCAGAGGUGCUGGCCUUGCUGCUGGUUGGAUCUGGCGGAGGAAGGUUAGGCCAGCGGUGAAGCUAUCCGGCAAACGUUGCUAACGCAGUGUACCGGCCUGCCGGCGGAGGUUUUGCCGCUAGCGUCUCCUGGCGGACCGGGUUGUCGCUGACGGAGCUGUGAUGGUGCCAGCGGAGUGCGCUGGGCUUUGCUCGCCGGCGGUUUGGCGGAGAUGCCGGUUGGCUGAUGAAGAUGGUAGUUCUUGGCGGAGCUUUUGCCGUUGAAGAAGUGUGGCGGAGCCUGUGUUGGCCGCUAAUGCUGGCGGC
Molecule: long non-coding RNA, 812 nt
Filed under: Rosa chinensis
Lineage: Eukaryota; Viridiplantae; Streptophyta; Magnoliopsida; Rosales; Rosaceae
Description: sRNA RchiOBHm_Chr5g0055461
Source: RNAcentral